This 481-nucleotide ribosomal RNA is filed under the name uncultured bacterium. RNAcentral's name for it is "partial 16S ribosomal RNA". It matches the Rfam family "Bacterial small subunit ribosomal RNA", at positions 28 to 507 of the family's 1533-position model. The record is from RNAcentral.
GACGAACGCUGGCGGCGUGCUUAACACAUGCAAGUCGAACGGGAUCCGGGCUUUCGGGUUUGGUGAGAGUGGCGAACGGGUGAGUAACACGUGAGUAACCUGCCCCCUUCUUUGGGAUAACGUCGGGAAAUCGGCGCUAAUACUGGAUAUUCUUGCUGCAUCGCAUGGUGUGGUUUGGAAAGGGUUUCUGGUGGGGGAUGGGCUCGCGGCCUAUCAGCUUGUUGGUGGGGUGAUGGCCUACCAAGGCUUUGACGGGUAGCCGGCCUGAGAGGGUGUCCGGCCACACCGGGACUGAGACACGGCCCAGACUCCUACGGGAGGCAGCAGUGGGGAAUAUUGCACAAUGGGCGCAAGCCUGAUGCAGCGACGCCGCGUGAGGGAUGACGGCCUUCGGGUUGUAAACCUCUUUCAGUAUGGAACAAGGAUCCUUCUUUUGGGGGGUUUGAGGGUACGUGCAGAAGAAGCGCCGGCUAACUACGUG